This is a non-coding RNA of Acanthosepion pharaonis, 97 nucleotides long. The record is from the annotation of a GenBank genome assembly. NCBI's taxonomy places the organism in Eukaryota, Metazoa, Mollusca, Cephalopoda, Sepiida, Sepiidae.
UUACGGCCAUAUCACGUUGAAACACCGGUUCUCGUACGAUCACCGAAGUUAAGCAACGUCGAGCCUGGUCAGUACCGCUUGGUAGUACCAGAUGCUG